Molecule: ribosomal RNA, 532 nt
Filed under: uncultured soil bacterium
Lineage: Bacteria
Description: bacterial SSU rRNA
Rfam family: Bacterial small subunit ribosomal RNA
Source: RNAcentral
GAGUUUGAUCCUGGCUCAGAAUCAACGCUUGGCGGCGUGCCUAACACAUGCAAGUCGAACGAGAAAGUGGAGCAAUCCAUGAGUACAGUGGCGAACGGGUGCUUAACACGUGGGCAACCUGCCAUGAAGUGGGGGAUAGCUCGCCGAAAGGCGAAUUAAUACCGCAUGUGAUUAGAGAGGACAUCCUUUCGAAAUUAAAGUCGGGGCAACCUGACGCUUCUUGUGGGGCCCGCGGCCUAUCAGCUAGUUGGUGAGGUAACGGCUCACCAAGGCUUUGACGGGUAGCUGGUCUGAGAGGACGACCAGCCACACUGGGACUGACACACGGCCCAGACACCUACGGGUGGCAGCAGUCGAGAAUUUUUGACAAUGGGGGAAACCCUGAUCGAGCGACGCCGCGUGGAGGAUGAAGGUCUUCGGAUUGUAAACUCCUGUCAUUGGGGAACAAGGUGCAUACGUUAACUGCGUGUGUAUUGAUAGUACCCGAAGAGGAAGAGACGGCUAACUCUGUGCCAGCAGCCGCGGUAAUACG